GGGGGUACCGGUACAGAGUCAAUGUGGAGACUAUAUACAGGGGGUACCGGUACAGAGUCAAUGUGGAGGCUAUAUACAGGGGGUACCAGUACAGAGUCAAUGUGGAGGCUAUAUACAGGGGGUACCAGUACAGAGUCAAUGUGGAGGCUAUAUACAGGGGGGUACCAGUACAGAGUCAAUGUGGAGGCUAUAUACAGGGGGUACCAGUACAGAGUCAAUGUGGAGGCUAUAUACAGGGGGGUACCAGUACAGAGUCAAUGUGGAGGCUAUAUACAGGUGGGUACCGGUACAGAGUCAAUGUGGAGGCUA
Molecule: long non-coding RNA, 309 nt
Filed under: Salmo salar (Atlantic salmon)
Lineage: Eukaryota; Metazoa; Chordata; Actinopteri; Salmoniformes; Salmonidae
Description: lncRNA (ENSSSAG00000117164.1)
Source: RNAcentral